Molecule: long non-coding RNA, 477 nt
Organism: Lucilia cuprina (Australian sheep blowfly)
Lineage: Eukaryota; Metazoa; Arthropoda; Insecta; Diptera; Calliphoridae
Exons: 2
Source: RefSeq, a predicted model, not a curated record
CUUUGUCCCUAAAUUCUACUGCAGUAUUUUCGUUAAGUUUUUUUGUUUGUUUGGAAUGUAACAGUUAGUAAAUGUACAUAACAGAAAGAAUUUUGUAGGCUCAGUAUUUACUGGCUUUAAUAUUAAAGUUUAGUUUGUUGGGGACAAAGACUGCGAAAUAAACGUUUACACCCUUGCAUCAUAAUUUUAAACAAAUUUGUGGUUCUUUUUGGGUGUUUGUUAAACUCGCUGUCCUCAACAUUAGGCUCAAGUCGCAGCCAGCGACAAAUUUUAUUUCGCAAUCUUUGGUGCGAUUAUGGUUCCUUGCCUGCCGGAACAAAUUUUAUUAGAUUUAAAUGUUUUGUGGUUCCUUGCCCGCCGGAACAUUAAUACGUUUUUGUGUAAUUUUAUGUAAGCGGUUCCUUGCCUGCCGGAACAAAUUUUAUUUGUACUUUUGUGUGAAUUUGUGGUUCCUUGUCCGUCGGAAGAAAUUUCAAU